RNAcentral lists this unclassified non-coding RNA (171 nucleotides) under uncultured Ascomycota. RNAcentral describes it as "sequence contains ITS1". Lineage: Eukaryota; Fungi; Ascomycota. The record is from RNAcentral.
UAGAGUUGCAAAACUCCCCAAACCAUCGUGAACCGUACCCAACACCGUUGCUUCGGCGGGCGGUCCCGGGUCUCCCGGGCGCCCCUGGGCCCCUCGCGGGCGCCCGCCGGAGGUGCACACAAACCCCUGUACUUUGCAUGGCCUCUCUGAGUCUCUGUACUGAAUAAGUCA